AGUGAACGCUGGCGGUAGGCCUAACACAUGCAAGUCGAACGGCAGCACAGUAAGAGCUUGCUCUUACGGGUGGCGAGUGGCGGACGGGUGAGGAAUACAUCGGAAUCUACUUUUUCGUGGGGGAUAACGUAGGGAAACUUACGCUAAUACCGCAUACGACCUACGGGUGAAAGCAGGGGAUCUUCGGACCUUGCGCGAUUGAAUGAGCCGAUGUCGGAUUAGCUAGUUGGCGGGGUAAAGGCCCACCAAGGCGACGAUCCGUAGCUGGUCUGAGAGGAUGAUCAGCCACAUUGGAACUGAGACACGGUCCAGACUCCUACGGGAGGCAGCAGUGGGGAAUAUUGGACAAUGGGCGCAAGCCUGAUCCAGCCAUACCGCGUGUGUGAAGAAGGCCUUCGGGUUGUAAAGCCCUUUUGUUGGGAAAGAAAAGCAGCAGGUUAAUACCCCGCUGUUCUGACGGUACCCAAAGAAUAAGCACCGGCUAACUUCGUG
This 492-nucleotide ribosomal RNA is filed under the name uncultured bacterium. Its description in RNAcentral is "partial 16S ribosomal RNA". It matches the Rfam family "Bacterial small subunit ribosomal RNA", at positions 29 to 507 of the family's 1533-position model. The record is from RNAcentral.